UUCUGCUAAUGCCAAUUGGAA
Molecule: non-coding RNA, 21 nt
Filed under: Caenorhabditis elegans
Lineage: Eukaryota; Metazoa; Nematoda; Chromadorea; Rhabditida; Rhabditidae
Source: RNAcentral